GCUACUACCGAUUGAAUGGUUUAGUGAGGACUCCUGAUUGGCGCCGCCGCCCCGGCAACGGAGCAGCGGACUGCCGAAAAGUUGUUCAAACUUGAUCAUUUAGAGGAAGUAAAAGUCGUAACAAGGUUUCCGUAGGUGAACCUGCAGAAGGAUGUGAACC
Molecule: unclassified non-coding RNA, 160 nt
Filed under: sea anemone metagenome
Description: partial contains small subunit ribosomal RNA and internal transcribed spacer 1
Rfam family: Eukaryotic small subunit ribosomal RNA
Source: RNAcentral